GAUGAACGCUGGCGGCGUGCCUAAUACAUGCAAGUCGAGCGAACAGACGAGGAGCUUGCUCCUCUGACGUUAGCGGCGGACGGGUGAGUAACACGUGGAUAACCUACCUAUAAGACUGGGAUAACUUCGGGAAACCGGAGCUAAUACCGGAUAACAUGUUGAACCGCAUGGUUCAACAGUGAAAGACGGUCUUGCUGUCACUUAUAGAUGGAUCCGCGCCGCAUUAGCUAGUUGGUAAGGUAACGGCUUACCAAGGCAACGAUGCGUAGCCGACCUGAGAGGGUGAUCGGCCACACUGGAACUGAGACACGGUCCAGACUCCUACGGGAGGCAGCAGUAGGGAAUCUUCCGUAAUGGGCGAAAGCCUGACGGAGCAACGCCGCGUGAGUGAAGAAGGUCUUCGGAUCGUAAAACUCUGUUAUUAGGGAAGAACAAAUGUGUAAGUAACUAUGCACGUCUUGACGGUACCUAAUCAGAAAGCCACGGCUAACUACGUG
Molecule: ribosomal RNA, 497 nt
Filed under: uncultured bacterium
Lineage: Bacteria
Description: partial 16S ribosomal RNA
Rfam family: Bacterial small subunit ribosomal RNA
Source: RNAcentral